GUGGUCAUCAUGGCGGAACGAAUAGCUGAAGGACUCCAUUCAGGAUGUGCACCUUUAACCAAUGCAGCUAUUCCAGCAAUGUGAGGAGCAGCCAUGGAAGUGCCUGAUUCAAGAAGGUAAUCAGUUGCCAAUUCUAUAUUGGUACCAAUUGUCGCUGCCAUAGUAUUAGAUGGCCAGGCGGCUAGAAUUAACACUCCUGGUGCUAAUAUGUCUGGCUUUGAUACUCUCAGAUAGCUUCAAGAAGGGCCUCUAGCUGAGGAUGCAGAAACAACUGGAGCAGGCUUUGAGUCCAAAUGCGUCUCCAGGAAACUAAUGCUGGC
This 320-nucleotide long non-coding RNA is filed under the name Solanum tuberosum (potato). RNAcentral's name for it is "long non-coding RNA (STUB_LNC002070)". Lineage: Eukaryota; Viridiplantae; Streptophyta; Magnoliopsida; Solanales; Solanaceae. The record is from RNAcentral.